This 524-nucleotide ribosomal RNA is filed under the name uncultured bacterium. RNAcentral's name for it is "partial 16S ribosomal RNA". It matches the Rfam family "Bacterial small subunit ribosomal RNA", at positions 28 to 523 of the family's 1533-position model. The record is from RNAcentral.
GACGAACGCUGGCGGCGUGCCUAAUACAUGCAAGUCGAGCGCAGGAAACUGACGGAACUCUUCGGAGGGAAGGCAGUGGGAUGAGCGGCGGACGGGUGAGUAACACGUAAGGAACCUGCCUCAAGGAUCGGGAUAACUCCGAGAAAUCGGAGCUAAUACCGGAUAGUUCAUCGGACCGCAUGGUCCGUUGAUGAAAGGCGCUUCGGCGUCACCUUGAGAUGGCCUUGCGGUGCAUUAGCUAGUUGGUGGGGUAACGGCCCACCAAGGCGACGAUGCAUAGCCGACCUGAGAGGGUGAUCGGCCACACUGGGACUGAGACACGGCCCAGACGCCGACGGGAGGCAGCAGUAGGGAAUCUUCCACAAUGGACGAAAGUCUGAUGGAGCAACGCCGCGUGAGUGAUGAAGGUUUUCGGAUCGUAAAACUCUGUUGUAAGGGAAGAACACGUACGAGAGGAAAUGCUCGUACCUUGACGGUACCUUACGAGAAAGCCACGGCUAACUACGUGCCAGCCGCCGCAGUAA